CAUCCGGUCGAUCAUUCCGGAGCGGGAAGGCCUCCCCAAGGAGGAAGCCAUGCAUGCCCGCUCAUCCUGAACGCGAGGGACGGCUCAGUACAUCGAUUCCACCCCCCUAUGCGGUCCCUGUUAUCCGUACUCCGCUGGCAACCCGGCAACAAUACAUGCGAGCAAGGGGGAGCGCCAGCGGACGAGCAGCGUGAGGCAACGAGGG
Molecule: ribosomal RNA, 205 nt
Filed under: Giardia duodenalis
Lineage: Eukaryota; Fornicata; Diplomonadida; Hexamitidae
Description: Giardia intestinalis partial small subunit ribosomal RNA
Source: RNAcentral